UACGUAGGGUGCAAGCGUUGUCCGGAAUUAUUGGGCGUAAAGAGCUCGUAGGCGGUCUGUCGCGUCGGCUGUGAAAACUCGGGGCUCAACCCCGAGCCUGCAGUCGAUACGGGCAGACUAGAGUACUGCAGGGGAGACUGGAAUUCCUGGUGUAGCGGUGAAAUGCGCAGAUAUCAGGAGGAACACCGGUGGCGAAGGCGGUGUCCUGGGCCGAUCCUGACGCUGAGGAGCGAAAGCGUGGGGAGCGAACAGG
RNAcentral lists this ribosomal RNA (253 nucleotides) under uncultured bacterium. RNAcentral's name for it is "partial 16S ribosomal RNA". It matches the Rfam family "Bacterial small subunit ribosomal RNA", at positions 524 to 776 of the family's 1533-position model. The record is from RNAcentral.